GAUGAACGCUGGCGGCGUGCUUAACACAUGCAAGUCGAACGAUGACGCCCAGCUUGCUGGGUGGAUUAGUGGCGAACGGGUGAGUAACACGUGAGUAACCUGCCCUUAACUCUGGGAUAAGCCUGGGAAACUGGGUCUAAUACCGGAUAGGAGCGUCCACCGCAUGGUGGGUGUUGGAAAGAUUUAUCGGUUUUGGAUGGACUCGCGGCGUAUCAGCUUGUUGGUGAGGUAAUGGCUCACCAAGGCGACGACGGGUAGCCGGCCUGAGAGGGUGACCGGCCACACUGGGACUGAGACACGGCCCAGACUCGUACGGGAGGCAGCAGUGGGGAAUAGUGCACAAUGGGCGCAAGCCUGAUGCAGCGACGCCGCGUGGGGGAUGACGGCCUGCGGGUUGUAAACCUCUGUCAGUAGGGAAGAAGCGAAAGUGACGGUACCUGCAGAAGAAGCACCGGCUAACUACGUG
RNAcentral lists this ribosomal RNA (466 nucleotides) under uncultured bacterium. RNAcentral describes it as "partial 16S ribosomal RNA". It matches the Rfam family "Bacterial small subunit ribosomal RNA", at positions 28 to 507 of the family's 1533-position model. The record is from RNAcentral.